Molecule: ribosomal RNA, 1486 nt
Filed under: uncultured bacterium
Lineage: Bacteria
Description: 16S ribosomal RNA
Rfam family: Bacterial small subunit ribosomal RNA
Source: RNAcentral
GCCUAACACAUGCAAGUCGAGCGGUAAGGCCCUUCGGGGUACACGAGCGGCGAACGGGUGAGUAACACGUGAGCAACCUGCCCCUGACUCCGGGAUAAGCGGUGGAAACGCCGUCUAAUACCGGAUAUGACCUGCCACCUCAUGGUGGCGGGUGGAAAGUUUUAUCGGUCAGGGAUGGGCUCGCGGCCUAUCAGCUUGUUGGUGGGGUAACGGCCUACCAAGGCGAUUACGGGUAGCCGGCCUGAGAGGGCGACCGGCCACACUGGGACUGAGACACGGCCCAGACUCCUGCGGGAGGCAGCAGUGGGGAAUAUUGCACAAUGGGCGAAAGCCUGAUGCAGCGACGCCGCGUGGGGGAUGACGGCCUUCGGGUUGUAAACCUCUUUUACCACCAACGCAGGCUCCGGGUUCUCUCGGGGUUGACGGUAGGUGGGGAAUAAGGACCGGCUAACUACGUGCCAGCAGCCGCGGUAAUACGUAGGGUCCGAGCGUUGUCCGGAAUUAUUGGGCGUAAAGAGCUCGUAGGCGGCAUGUCGCGUCUGCUGUGAAAGACCGGGGCUUAACUCCGGUUCUGCAGUGGAUACGGGCAUGCUAGAGGUAGGUAGGGGAAACUGGAAUUCCUGGUGUAGCGGUGAAAUGCGCAGAUAUCAGGAGGAACACCGGUGGCGAAGCGGGUUUCUGGGCCUUACCUGACGCUGAGGAGCGAAAGCAUGGGGAGCGAACAGGAUUAGAUACCCUGGUAGUCCAUGCCGUAAACGUUGGGCGCUAGGUGUGGGGACUUUCCACGGUUUCCGCGCCGUAGCUAACGCAUUAAGCGCCCCGCCUGGGGAGUACGGCCGCAAGGCUAAAACUCAAAGGAAUUGACGGGGGCCCGCACAAGCGGCGGAGCAUGUUGCUUAAUUCGACGCAACGCGAAGAACCUUACCAAGGUUUGACAUCACCCGUGGACCUGUAGAGAUACAGGGUCAUUUAGUUGGUGGGUGACAGGUGGUGCAUGGCUGUCGUCAGCUCGUGUCGUGAGAUGUUGGGUUAAGUCCCGCAACGAGCGCAACCCUUGUUCUAUGUUGCCAGCACGUUAUGGUGGGGACUCAUAGGAGACUGCCGGGGUCAACUCGGAGGAAGGUGGGGACGACGUCAAGUCAUCAUGCCCCUUAUGUCUUGGGCUGCAAACAUGCUACAAUGGCCGGUACAAUGGGCGUGCGAUACCGUAAGGUGGAGCGAAUCCCUUAAAGCCGGUCUCAGUUCGGAUUGGGGUCUGCAACUCGACCCCAUGAAGGUGGAGUCGCUAGUAAUCGCGGAUCAGCAACGCCGCGGUGAAUACGUUCCCGGGCCUUGUACACACCGCCCGUCACGUCAUGAAAGUCGGCAACACCCGAAACUUGUGGCCUAACCCUUCGGGGAGGGAAUGAGUGAAGGUGGGGCUGGCGAUUGGGACGAAGUCGUAACAAGGUAGCCGUACCGGAAGGUGCGGCUGGAUCACCUCCUU